GUACUUGAAACCAGAUGAGGACAAGAAAUCCAAACACAAGACCGCUGUCAAGAAGAAAACACUCAAUCCUGAAUUCAACGAGGAAUUUUGCUAUGAGAUCAAGCACGGCGACUUGACCAAGAAGACCUUGGAGGUGACAGUGUGGGAUUACGACAUUGGCAAAUCGAAUGACUUUAUCGGUGGUGUCGUGCUGGGGAUCAAUGCCAAAGGAGACCGGCUGAAGCACUGGUUUGACUGCUUGAAAAACAAGGAUAAGAAAAUCGAGCGCUGGCACACGCUCACGAACGAGCUGCCGGGAGCCAUCCUCAGCGAUUGACCUUACGAGCGGACCUGGGGACCUGGUCAAACAGAGCACAGCACCCGAUGAAGGAGCGACUCCUGCCUUCAGAAAUAUUGUUUACUUCGCUGGAAGGGUUUGGCCCCAAGUCAGCAAGAAUGAGGAAGGGGGUUUGGUAACAAGCUGUGGGCGACAGCCCAUUGGCCGGGCAUGCUUUGGCACCAAGCAACACACUGUCUUCUGUUGUUUGGCAAACUUCAGUCCUAGAGACCUCUCCGGGGAUGCCUUGAAAUUACAGCAGACCUGUUUCUUGGAGGGACGGGGGCGGGGUGGGGGGGGUGGGGUGGGGAGACCAAAAGCCUGCAUGCAUUUAAAUUGUGACUUCUCCGACUUCCUGAAUCCUGUUCUUGCUGCCUCGCGGCUUUGCUGGCACAUAAACGCAAAAUAUACCAACUAUUUUCUUUCUCUCUGUGUGUGGCUAGCACUGAUUGCGUCUCAGCGCAACAAAAAUAAAACAUGUCGCCUCUUGGGUUGAUUUGGGGGUCAGAGCAGAGAGCCGCAUCUUCUGGUGCAUUGCAUAAUGUUUCUGGUAGGGGAGGGCUAGUUUGCUUUCUGUGUGACCCCUUCUCCGAAGCAUUCCCUUCGUCUUGUCUGUUAAUCUGUGCAAAACAUAUACGUUAAGGGCUGGGCAACUGACUGAGGCGGUUGCUUCCUUUCGUCAGUCCCCUCUUCCACCUCCUUUCCACCAGGGGUCAUGCAAACAGACCUCCAGAGAAUCGGGUUCCGGCUCCCUAGAGGUUCUAGAGCAGAGCUCUACCCUCCUCUCUGGACCCUCCUGUUGCUCCUUCACAGCCAAGGAGUAUCACACUUCCUUCUCUGUGCAGCUAACAUUUUUUAAGGAACCGCAAGCCUUCCUUUUUCUGUGCGUUUCAUACCACUGCCUUCAAACACCAUGACAUUUCCUCCUGCUCUCUGCGAGCGUCUCUCAGUCAUUUGUGUUGUUGUUGAAGAGCCGAUCUUUCCGGAACUCAGCAUCAGAGAGCGGCUUACAUCCAAGCCCAAGUACUCAUCAGAAGAGUCACCCUUUAGCAACAUUCAAAGGCAAGUUUUGACUUCCACGGCCAAACGCACAGUAUGUCAAAAACAAAAUUACUCGGAUUUUUAAACUGGUUCUGCUGACAGCACAAUUCAGACUCUCUCUCUCAGCAAAGGCAAUUGACAUCACUGUUCUUUGUCCAAGUAUUAUUUUAGUUCCGUAGCCUGUAUGUUCAUUCUGGCCUGUCUUUUGUGGAUUUCACACGAUGCUCGUUCUCAUGAUACCAGUUUACAGAUUUCCUGGCAAAUCUAAGCCGUCAUACAGACUCCUGUCUGUAAGCAAAGGCAUUUUUCACACGUUACCCUGAGGAAACAGGAAACGCAAGACACAUUACCUGUUGUGGGAAUUCACAGCCAUUAUUGCUUGCAGCUCCCAAGGAAAAAGACCUGGAAAAUAUUGCAUGAGCUCUGAACCGCUUGGGUAACUCAGCAAGAGUUUGUGUUACAAGGGCCGUCUGCCCAACUAACAUGUUCACCGUUUAUGCCCUAUGUGUGUAUCCUCUGCGGGUGGGGAAGACAUUUUCUGCACUCCAACUAAUUUCUGUCUUUAAAAUCUACUUUUAUUUUCCUCUCCAUAUUAUAAAAUUGUCACUUCCAAGAAAAUCUUCCAUUGUGGAGUAGUUUCAAUAUCCUCCUUUUUCGAGCUCCAUUAUUGAUGAGUUUUCUUUGGACGAUCACGCUGUGCUCACUUUCUGUGGCAUUACUGUUCUACUUUAACCGGCAAGAUAGUUGAAGCCGAGGUUUCAAACACAGGCUCUAACAUAUAUUGUUAUAAUAUGCGAGGCUCAAAUCUCCUUUGCGCCUCUCUUGUGCCACUUGUGAAUUUCUGGCCGCUGUCAUUAGAGAGAGGCAUUUGUUAUGCUGAUGAGCCCUCUGGCCAUUGUAGGUUUUGUAUUCUUUGUUACUUUAUUAUUAUUUAUUACAUACCUGACUGAAGAAAGAGGAUGAAAAUGUCCGAAUGGUCUCAGGGCCGUUCAUGCUGCCUACAUCAGAUCCCUUCUCUGUGUUCUUCUGACAAAACAAAUUCUUCUGCCCAAACAUCCAUUAAGAGCAUGCACAAUUUUUCCCCGCACAAAGGAUUACUCCCACGUAGGGAACAAUAUGUGAAGGGACCCACAGAAAAGCCAGGAUUCAUGCCUCGUUCUUGGAGAUAAGUUAACAGUACUCUUGUCGAAGCACAUAUUUUGCCAUUCCGCUGGCCCCUUCCGCACACGCAAAAUAAUGCAUUUUCAAACCACUUUCACAACUGUUUGCAAGUGGAUUUCAUUAUUCAAGACAGUUUCAAAGAGCACUGAAAACAGUUUGAAAGUGCAUUAUUCUGCAUGUGCGGAAUGAGCCGCUGAUUUUUUCCAACUACCGUUACGACAUGUCCCACGUGGAAUUCUUUCGUUUUGUAUGAAAGCCUUUUUUUUUUUUACUGGAACUAUAUGUACAUAUUAUACAAUAUAUAAAUACACAUUAAAAAAAAGUUUGCAUGCAAGUUGGUGGUUGUCAUGCAAAAAAAAAAGACUUGUUAAAUGUUUGAUACCGAUGUUUUGCUACAAGGCGACAGCUGCAGAAAACUGUCGCGAACUGCAUCCCCCACAGAGGAAAAUUUUGUAUUCCAGUAUUACGUGUAUCUUUUUUUGUCAGAUUUUGUUUAAUCUUUAUAAAUAGAAUCUCAAAUAAUAAAAAAUAAGAAAGGAAAAAAA
Sphaerodactylus townsendi is the source of this 3063-nucleotide long non-coding RNA. RefSeq lists it as uncharacterized. The transcript has 3 exons. The record is from RefSeq and is a predicted model, not a curated record. Lineage: Eukaryota; Metazoa; Chordata; Lepidosauria; Squamata; Sphaerodactylidae.